CCUACGGGGCGCAGCAGUCGGGAAUAUUGCGCAAUGGAGGAAACUCUGACGCAGUGACGCCGCGUAUAGGAAGAAGGUUUUCGGAUUGUAAACUAUUGUCCACAGGGAAGAUAAAAGACUGUACCUGUGAAGAAAGCUCCGGCUAACUACGUGCCAGCAGCCGCGGUAAUACGUAGGUGGCAAGCGUUAUCCGGAUUUACUGGGUGUAAAGGGCGUGUAGGCGGGAGAGCAAGUCAGACGUGAAAUUCCAGGGCUCAACCCUGGAACUGCGUUUGAAACUGUUCUUCUUGCGUGAUGGAGAUGCA
Molecule: ribosomal RNA, 305 nt
Filed under: uncultured bacterium
Lineage: Bacteria
Description: bacterial SSU rRNA
Rfam family: Bacterial small subunit ribosomal RNA
Source: RNAcentral